RNA transcript from Mastomys coucha (southern multimammate mouse), 712 nucleotides. It is a transcript of the gene named mitochondrial pyruvate carrier 1 pseudogene, with no coding region annotated. Lineage: Eukaryota; Metazoa; Chordata; Mammalia; Rodentia; Muridae. The transcript has a single exon. The record is from RefSeq and is a predicted model, not a curated record.
GGCCUCUGCCGGGUCGGCAGUGUCAUCUGUCUAGGUAGUGGCUUCCCUGCCUACGGCACGAUCAUGGCUGGAGCGCUGGUACGCAAAGCGGCAGAGUAUGUCCGGAGCAAGGACUUCCGAGACUAUCUCAUGAGUACGCACUUCUGGGGCCCAGUUGCCAACUGGGGUCUCCCCAUUGCUGCUUUCAAUGACAUGAAGAAAUCUACAGAGAUUAUCAGUGGGAAGAUGACUUUCGCUCUCUGUUGCUAUUCUCUGACAUUCAUGAGAUUUGCCUACAAGGUACAACCUCGAAACUGGCUUCUGUUUGGAUGCCAUAUAACAAAUGAAGUAGCUCAGCUCAUUCAGGGAGGACGACUUAUCAACUACGAGUUGAGUAAGCAGCCAUCUGCGUAGCAGUGCAAGGACCAGCUCUUGAAAGGGACAGUGCUCCAGUCACUGCUGCAGCCACAGAUCAUGUCAGCAUAAAUAGUCAUGCUGAGGGGAAAACACAGAAUGCUAUCUUUAAUGACCAUGCCAACAUUAUUGAAUAGCCGGGAGUCUCUAAACCAACUCUCUGCUGCCUUAUCAAUGCUAAACUUUAUUUGUCUUCAUCAAGAGUAGUUCAAAAUAUGCAACUAAUUUAAUAAUUUUGAAUGAUGGCUUUAUCUAUAGCAAUCUGUAGUAAUAUAUUAUCUAUUGGGAUUUGUGUAAUAAAAAAUCUAAGGGAACAAAA